Molecule: ribosomal RNA, 274 nt
Filed under: uncultured bacterium
Lineage: Bacteria
Description: partial 16S ribosomal RNA
Rfam family: Bacterial small subunit ribosomal RNA
Source: RNAcentral
AUACUGAGGGUGCGAGCGUUAAUCGGAAUUACUGGGCGUAAAGCGCGCGUAGGCGGCUUAUGAAGUCAGAUGUGAAAUCUCCGGGCUCAACUUGGGAACUGCAUCUGAUACUGGUAAGCUAGGGUUUUGGAGAGGGAAGUAGAAUUUCAGGUGUAGCGGUGAAAUGCAUAGAGAUCUGAAGGAAUACCAGUGGCGAAGGCGACUUCCUGGCCAAAAACUGACGCUGAGGUGCGAAAGCGUGGGUAGCAAACGGGAUUAGAAACCCUAGUAGUCC